AUCAGCAAGAAAAUAUAUUAAAAUUUAUUAUAAAUCAAAAAGACUAGUGCACGAGGAAAUACAUCUCAAGUAAAAUUAGACCCAAUAAUAACUUGUUAUUUCAAAAAUAAAAGUAAAAAAUAUUUUACGAAAAAAAGAAAAACAUUUGGUAUAUAUUAAUGAGAAACAUCAAAAUGCAGAUAAGGGCUGUGGGAUAAAUAAAAAUUCCAAGACAUUGAUAAUGUUCCCAAGUUAAAUAAUAUGGAUAAAUUGAAGGGGGCACCCAUCCCCUGAUGUAUUAUUCUAAAUUAUCAUCAGUUUUGCCUCUCUAAUUUUCAAUGACUAACCAAAACAUGAUAAUCACAUAGUUUCAUUUUCUUUUUAAUUCUUUUUAACAGAUUCUUUUUAUAUUUGUCUUUUCUUAUAAAGAAUUUAUGCAACGUGCAUAUUAUGUUCCUGUAUUUUUAUCAAUUUGUAUUAUUUUUUACGCGUUUUCCUUCUAUGAUUGAGUCGAAAUUUAAAAUAUUCUUUUAUAAACCUGAAAAAAAAUAUUUAUUUUCAUCUCCAAUUCAAACUCAAGAUAUCGGAUUCAUCUCGAGUGUCCUUGUAUAAAUUGCAUCAUAACUUUAAUAUAUGAUGGAACAUAAGACUAUUGCCUCGUAAAAUUAUUUAUUUGAGAAUUAUAUACUCAGUAUAGAUAAGAAUUUUUUUUAUAAUUUUCGUAUCGAGCCAAAUUAUAGUUUUAUUUUCUAAGCAGUCGGGGACAUCAAUUAAAUCAUUUUCAAACAGAUUUAUUAUUCUUUUAGAUCUGCUGUCUUUUUUUCUUCAAUUUUUCUUUUUUGUUUAUAUGCUGGAAUAUGUUUCGUUGUCUUCUUGCUUGUGCAGAAGCUGGCCAUAUUAAAAGAUGAUAACUCAUUCUUAUCUUUAUUUUUUUUAGGAAAAAAGAAAAGAAAAGAAAGUUUUAAUAGCCCACAUGACCUAACUUUUAAUUAUGAACCACUUUAAUAAAAUCAUUUUUAAUUCAAUAAAAAUCGCAUUAAAAGAAAAUCUGGGCACCAGAUCUCGAACUUUAUUUCAGAUUCAUGAUAAAUAAGAAAGCAGGUCAUUUGGGAACAUAUGGCAAGAAUCUAAAUUAAGGGAAAUCAUAAAAAUUCACAGCAUAAAUGGAUGUUCUAAAGAUCAUCUCUCGGUCUCAGUUUGUUGCUACUGAAACACAAUUUAGAUAUGGCCUUGUUUCCUUGCAAAUCUUUCUUCCUCAUUCUCCUUGUUUUCUCAGUUGCAUUAGUGCAUGAAGCAGAAGCCAAGAUAUGCCGUAUUAUACUUCCCAGGCUUCCAGGAAACCGCAAUUGUGAGAUUAAAAUGUGCAACAGCUUGUGCAAAUUCUUGCACCAUGGGACUGCAGAAUGUGUUGAUGUUUUCAGACCUUACACUCAGUGCAUGUGCAGUUGGCAGUGCAAGUGACUGAUCUGAUAAGCCUCAAUUAUCAUCAAGCAGAUCAUAUAAAAUAAAAGAGGACUGUGUAAUUUUAGUGGGUCGUUCUUAGUGAUCAUGGCCCUGAUUGAUUACUUGCAGAUAUUUCUUGGGUGCUUCUCCUUAAUUCUUUCCUCGGGUUUUGUUUAUUCUGAUUCUUGCA
Long non-coding RNA from Ricinus communis (castor bean), 1612 nucleotides. RefSeq lists it as uncharacterized. The record is from RefSeq and is a predicted model, not a curated record. The transcript is spliced from 2 exons. Lineage: Eukaryota; Viridiplantae; Streptophyta; Magnoliopsida; Malpighiales; Euphorbiaceae.